AUUGGCUGUAGCAAUAAAAAGGACUUGGGACAGAUCAAAGGCUACAUUUAAGUAGUGAUCAGUGAAACUGUGGUUUUGCUCCGGAUCCAAGACCUCUAGUAAGGCUGCUGCAGGAUCUCCCUGCAAGCUCUUCCCCAGUUUAUCAACCUCAUCUAAAAGAAACACUGGAUUAUUAACCCCAACAGUCUUCAGUCCAUUGAUUAUUCUGCCAGGCAUACUCCCAACAUAGGUGCGCCUGUGGCCUCGGAUAUCAGAUUGAUCACAGACACCUCCUAAAGCAAUCCUGUGGAAUUCUCGACCCAAAGUCUUUGCAAUUGAUCUUCCGACGCUGGUUUUGCCAACUCCUGGAGGUCCCACAAAACAAAGAAUGGGUCCCUUGAGGUUGUUUUUUAGCUGCCUGACAGCUAAGUACUCCAAAACUCUUUUCUUCAACUUCUCCAUAGCAUAAUGAUCAUUAUCCAGAAGAAUUCGAGCUGCACGAAUUUCAAGGCGAUCUUUUGUACUCUUGUUCCAUGGCAAUUCUACCAUAAGUUCCAAAUAAUUUCUUGUUAAAGCAUAUUCUGGCAUCGACUGAGGCAUCUUCUUUAAUCUCUUUAUUUCCUUAAGACACACUUUAAGAGCUUGCUCUGACAUACUGGAAGUUCUAAUCUUCUUCUCAAGCAUGACAACAUCAUCAUGAUCUUCCUCCUCCUCCUCAUCUUCUGCAGUGCUUGGAAUAUGAUUGAUCCUUCUAUUAGGACGAAUAGCUACAACCCUUUUAUCAUCAUCCUGUUUGGGCUUUCUUGUUUUCUGAAGAAGCUUCAGUCCUUCAAUUUGUCUAACAAGCAAUGGUAUAGUCAUCUUGAACCUUUCCUCCAGCCUAACAGCAUCUAGAAUCUAAGAGCAAGGAGUUAUGAGAAGCCGACAAAUUCACAUUAAUGGAUCAU
This 926-nucleotide long non-coding RNA is filed under the name Gallus gallus (chicken). The record is from RNAcentral. Lineage: Eukaryota; Metazoa; Chordata; Aves; Galliformes; Phasianidae.